This 247-nucleotide ribosomal RNA is filed under the name uncultured bacterium. RNAcentral describes it as "partial small subunit ribosomal RNA". It matches the Rfam family "Bacterial small subunit ribosomal RNA", at positions 26 to 286 of the family's 1533-position model. The record is from RNAcentral.
AGAAUCAACGCUGGCGGCGUGCCUAACACAUGCAAGUCGAACGAGAAAGUGGAGCAAUCCAUGAGUAAAGUGGCGCACGGGUGAGUAACACGUGACUAACCUACCCUUGAGUGGGGGGAUAACCUAGGGAAACCUGGGCUAAUACCGCAUAAUACCUUCGGGUCAAAGGAGCAAUUCGCUUAAGGAGGGGGUCGCGGCCGAUUAGUUAGUUGGCGGGGUAAUGGCCCACCAAGACUGUGAUCGGUAU